GAUGAACGCUAGCGGGAGGCUUAACACAUGCAAGUCGAGGGGUAACAUGAUGUAGCAAUACGUUGAUGACGACCGGCGCACGGGUGAGUAACGCGUAUGUAACCUACCUUGUACAGGGGGAUAGCCCGGAGAAAUUCGGAUUAAUACCCCAUAAUGAUAUUGAGAGGCAUCUUUUAAUAUUUAAAGUUUCGACGGUACGAGAUGGGCAUGCGUGACAUUAGCUAGUUGGUAAGGUAACGGCUUACCAAGGCUUCGAUGUCUAGGGGUCCUGAGAGGGUGAUCCCCCACACUGGUACUGAGACACGGACCAGACUCCUACGGGAGGCUG
RNAcentral lists this ribosomal RNA (328 nucleotides) under uncultured Bacteroidota bacterium. RNAcentral's name for it is "bacterial SSU rRNA". It matches the Rfam family "Bacterial small subunit ribosomal RNA", at positions 28 to 351 of the family's 1533-position model. The record is from RNAcentral. Lineage: Bacteria; Pseudomonadati; Bacteroidota.